UUAAAUGGCUGCAGUAAUUUGACUGUACAAAGGUAGCAUAAUCAUUAGUUUUUUAAUUAAAAGCUUGUAUGAAAGGUUGGACGAAGUAAAAUCUGUCUCUUUUUAAUAUUAUUAGAAUUUAAUUUUUAAGUUAAAAAGCUUAAAUUUAUAUAAAAGACGAGAAGACCCUAUAGAGUUUUAUAAUUUUUAUUUUAUAAUUAAUUUAGAUUUAUUGAUUUUAUUUUAUAUAAAUUAUUUUAUUGGGGUAAUAUAAAGAUUAAAAAAAUUCUUUUUUUUAUUGACCAUUAAUUUAUGAAAUUUUUAUGAUCCAUUAAUUUUGAUUAUAAGAUUAAAUUACCUUAGGGAUAACAGCGUAAUUUUUUUAGAGAGUUCUUAUCGAUAAAAAAGUUUGCGACCUCGAUGUUGGAUUAAAGAUUAAUUUAGGUGUAGAAGUUUAAAUUUUUGGUCUGUUCGACCAUUGAAUCUUUACAUGAUCUGAGUUCAAACCGGCGUAAGCCAGGUUGGUUUCUAUCUUUAUAAAGGAUUUAUAUUUUAGUACGAAAGGACCAAAUAUAUAAUAUAUUAAUAUUUAAUUAUUGAAUAUUAUUAAAUAUAGAUAUUAUUUUGGCAGAUUAGUGUAAUGAAUUUAGAAUUCAUAAAAGUAAAUAUUUUACAAGUAAUACUUGUUUAUAUUAGAAGUAUUAAUUUCUUUAAUUUUUAUUAUUUUAUUAGUAAUUUGUGUUUUAGUGGGAGUGG
This 735-nucleotide ribosomal RNA is filed under the name Paraphaenops breuilianus breuilianus. RNAcentral describes it as "partial 16S ribosomal RNA". The stretch from base 1 to 538 matches the Rfam family "Bacterial large subunit ribosomal RNA", at positions 1923 to 2925 of the family's 2925-position model. RNAcentral also lists the same sequence under 1 other name. The record is from RNAcentral. Lineage: Eukaryota; Metazoa; Arthropoda; Insecta; Coleoptera; Carabidae.